RNAcentral lists this ribosomal RNA (250 nucleotides) under uncultured bacterium. RNAcentral's name for it is "partial 16S ribosomal RNA". It matches the Rfam family "Bacterial small subunit ribosomal RNA", at positions 779 to 1027 of the family's 1533-position model. The record is from RNAcentral.
UAGAUACCCUGGUAGUCCACGCCCUAAACGAUGUCAACUAGUUGUCGGGUCUUCAUUGACUUGGUAACGUAGCUAACGCGUGAAGUUGACCGCCUGGGGAGCACGGUCGCAAGAUUAAAACUCAAAGGAAUUGACGGGGACCCGCACAAGCGGUGGAUGAUGUGGAUUAAUUCGAUGCAACGCGAAAAAACCUUACCUACCUUGACAUGUAUGGAAUCCUGCUGAGAGGUGGGAGUGCCCGAAAGGGAGC